This 728-nucleotide ribosomal RNA is filed under the name uncultured bacterium. Its description in RNAcentral is "bacterial SSU rRNA". It matches the Rfam family "Bacterial small subunit ribosomal RNA", at positions 766 to 1500 of the family's 1533-position model. The record is from RNAcentral.
UCGCCCUUAUUAGAUACCCUGGUAGUCCACGCUGUAAACGAUGGAUACUAGGUGUCGGUGGGACUGACCCCCUCCGUGCCGCAGUUAACACAAUAAGUAUCCCACCUGGGGAGUACGAUCGCAAGGUUGAAACUCAAAGGAAUUGACGGGGGCCCGCACAAGCGGUGGAGUAUGUGGUUUAAUUCGAAGCAACGCGAAGAACCUUACCAGGGCUUGACAUCCCGGCGACCGGCUUAGAGAUAAGCUUUUCCCUUCGGGGACGCCGGUGACAGGUGGUGCAUGGUUGUCGUCAGCUCGUGUCGUGAGAUGUUGGGUUAAGUCCCGCAACGAGCGCAACCCUUAUUGUUAGUUGCUACGAAAGAGCACUCUAGCGAGACUGCCGUUGACAAAACGGAGGAAGGCGGGGACGACGUCAAAUCAUCAUGCCCCUUAUGUCCUGGGCUACACACGUAAUACAAUGGUGGUCAACAGAGGGAGGCAAGACUGCGAAGUGGAGCAAAUCCCUAAAAGCCAUCUCAGUUCGGAUUGCAGGCUGCAGCUCGCCUGCAUGAAGCUGGAAUUGCUAGUAAUCGCGGAUCAGCAAGCCGCGGUGAAUACGUUCCCGGGCCUUGUACACACCGCCCGUCACACCAUGGGAGUCGGUAACACCCGAAGUCGGUAGCCUAACCGUAAGGAGGGCGCCGCCGAAGGUGGGAUUGAUGACUGGGGUGAAGUCGUAACAAGGUAAC